RNAcentral lists this ribosomal RNA (293 nucleotides) under uncultured Sporosalibacterium sp. RNAcentral describes it as "partial 16S ribosomal RNA". It matches the Rfam family "Bacterial small subunit ribosomal RNA", at positions 505 to 796 of the family's 1533-position model. The record is from RNAcentral. Lineage: Bacteria; Bacillati; Bacillota; Tissierellia; Tissierellales; Thermohalobacteraceae.
GUGCCAGCAGCCGCGGUAAUACGUAGGGUGCAAGCGUUGUCCGGAAUUACUGGGCGUAAAGGGUGCGUAGGCGGCCAAUUAAGUCAGAAGUUAAAGCCCUCGGCUCAACCGAGGUAAGCUUUUGAAACUGAUUGGCUUGAGCGCAGGAGAGGAGAGCGGAAUUCCUAGUGUAGCGGUGAAAUGCGUAGAUAUUAGGAAGAACACCAGUGGCGAAGGCGGCUCUCUGGACUGUAGCUGACGCUGAUGCACGAAAGCGUGGGGAGCGAACAGGAUUAGAUACCCCUGUAGUGAUC